UACGUAGGGGGCAAGCGUUGUCCGGAAUCAUUGGGCGUAAAGAGCGUGUAGGCGGCCAGAUAAGUCCGCUGUGAAAUCUCGAGGCUCAACUUCGAGCUGUCGGUGGAAACUGUCUGGCUAGAGUCCGGAAGAGGAGAAUGGAAUUUACGGUGUAGCGGUGAAAUGCGUAGAUAUCGUAAGGAAGACCAGUGGCGAAGGCGGGUCUCUGGACAGUUCCUGACGCUGAGGCACGAAGGUCAGGGGAGCAAACGGG
This 253-nucleotide ribosomal RNA is filed under the name uncultured bacterium. RNAcentral describes it as "partial 16S ribosomal RNA". It matches the Rfam family "Bacterial small subunit ribosomal RNA", at positions 524 to 776 of the family's 1533-position model. The record is from RNAcentral.